GGACCCGCACAAGCGGUGGAGUAUGUGGUUUAAUUCGAUGCAACGCGAAGAACCUUACCAGGGUUUGACAUCCUGCGAAUCUCUUGGAAACAGGAGAGUGCCUUCGGGAACGCAGUGACAGGUGGUGCAUGGCUGUCGUCAGCUCGUGUCGUGAGAUGUUGGUUAAGUCCCGCAACGAGCGCAACCCACGUCUUUAGUUGCCAGCAUUUUAGUUGGGCACUCUAGAGAGACUGCCGGUGAUAAACCGGAGGAAGGUGUGGAUGACGUCAAGUCAUCAUGCCCCUUACAUCCUGGGCUACACACGUACUACAAUGCUACGGACAAAGGGCAGCAAACUCGCGAGAGCUAG
Molecule: ribosomal RNA, 349 nt
Filed under: uncultured bacterium
Lineage: Bacteria
Description: bacterial SSU rRNA
Rfam family: Bacterial small subunit ribosomal RNA
Source: RNAcentral